CAGCAUGGUCUUAGCUUGCUAAGGCCGAUGGCGACCGGCGCACGGGUGAGUAACGCGUAUCCAACCUGCCUUACACUCUUGGACAGCCUUCUGAAAGGGAGAUUAAUACAAGAUGUUAUCAUGAGUAAGCAUUUUCGCAUGAUUAAAGGUUUACCGGUGUAAGAUGGGGAUGCGUUCCAUUAGAUAGUAGGCGGGGUAACGGCCCACCUAGUCUUCGAUGGAUAGGGGUUCUGAGAGGAAGGUCCCCACAUUGGAACUGAGACACGGUCCAAACUCC
This 277-nucleotide ribosomal RNA is filed under the name uncultured Bacteroides sp. RNAcentral's name for it is "partial 16S ribosomal RNA". It matches the Rfam family "Bacterial small subunit ribosomal RNA", at positions 68 to 339 of the family's 1533-position model. The record is from RNAcentral. Lineage: Bacteria; Pseudomonadati; Bacteroidota; Bacteroidia; Bacteroidales; Bacteroidaceae.